This 459-nucleotide ribosomal RNA is filed under the name uncultured bacterium. RNAcentral's name for it is "partial 16S ribosomal RNA". It matches the Rfam family "Bacterial small subunit ribosomal RNA", at positions 338 to 795 of the family's 1533-position model. The record is from RNAcentral.
CCUACGGGAGGCAGCAGUGAGGAAUAUUGGUCAAUGGCCGGAAGGCUGAACCAGCCAAGCCGCGUGAAGGACGAAGGUGCCAAGCAUUGUAAACUUCUUUUGUCAAGGGACAAAAUCAGGCUCGAGAGCCUGACCGAGGGUACUUGAAGAAAAAGCAUCGGCUAACUCCGUGCCAGCAGCCGCGGUAAUACGGAGGAUGCGAGCGUUAUCCGGAUUUAUUGGGUUUAAAGGGUGCGUAGGCGGGCAUUUAAGCCGGCGGUCAAAUGUCGGGGCUCAACCCCGGCCUGCCGUCGGAACUGGGUGCCUUGAGUGGGCGAGAAGUAUGCGGAAUGCGUGGUGUAGCGGUGAAAUGCAUAGAUAUCACGCAGAACCCCGAUUGCGAAGGCAGCAUACCGGCGCCCUACUGACGCUGAGGCACGAAAGUGCGGGUAUCGAACAGGAUUAGAUACCCGUGUAGUC